UGGGCAUCAGCUGCUGGCAACUGUCUUGCUGAUGCCAUGGGCAUGGCACAGCAGGCACAGUGUUGACAGUGCCCUGUGUCACACAGGCAUGGGUGACAUCACCAGCACAGGGAGAUCAUCGGAACAGCUACACCCCUCUUCCAGCCCUGGCCACCGGAGAGAAGGAUGGUGAGCAGAAGCAGAGGGCCACAGACCCAGAGGAGAGCGUCAUCAGGCCAUGGAAACCUCCUGGAUCAGGAAGCUCAGCUGGAGAGAUGUCCCACCUUCCACAAGGACAUGGACACAAAGAUAUGUAAUCAAAAUAACACCAGCCUGGUGUAAUUUAGGCAUCAUCCGCUGACAAGUGCCUUGGUGAUGCCAUGGGCAUAUCAUACCAAGCAGGACAUUGGUAGUUCCCUGUGUCACACAGGCAUGGGCGACAUGGCCAGCACAGGGAAAUCAUAAGAAGAGCUUCAACCCUCUCCCAGCCCAGGCCAGAGGAGAACAGUAUGGGCCAGAGACCCAGAGGAGAAUAUCAUCAUGAUCAUGGAAACCUCCUGGAUCAGGAAGCUCAGCUGGAGAGAUGUCCCAGCUUCCACAAGGACAUCAAUACAAAGAUAUGUAAUCAAUGUAACACCAGCCUGGCUGUAAUUUUUGGCAUCAGCUGCUGGCAACUGUCUUGGUAAUGCUGUGGGCAUAUGACAGCAGGCAUAACAUUGGCUGUUCCCUGUGUCACGCUCGCAUAAUGAACAUGGCCAACACAGGGAGAUCAUCAGAAGAGCUUUAAAUCCUCUCCCAGCCCAGGCCAGAGGAGAGCAGGAUGGUGAGCAGAGACCAAGGUGAGAGGGCAGGACAGAAGACAUGGAAUGCAAGGGCUGGGCCCUGGGCAGGGAGGCAGGCUUGUCUGUCAUGCAACAGAUUGUUUUUCCUCCUCCAUUGUCUUAGAGGGCCAGAGGUCCAGAAGAGAACAUCAUCAGACCAUGGAAACCUCCUGUCCUCGGUUCCUCAGCGGUAGUGUUGUUCCACCUUCUACAAAGAUAUCGAUACAAAGAUAUGUAAUCAGCAUUACACCAGCCUGGCUGAAUUUUUGGGCAUCAGUUGGUGGCAACUGCCUUGCUGAUGCCAUGGGCAUGCCACAGCAGGCACAACGUUGGCAGUUCCCUGUAUCACACAGGCAUGGGUGACAUGGGAGACAGGGAGAUGAAAUGGGCAUAGGGAGAUCAUCGGAACAGCUGCACCCCUCUCCCAGCCCAAGCUACUGGAUAGCAGGAUAGUGAGCAGAAGCAGAGGUGAGAGGGCAAGACAGAGGCACUGCAGGGAAGGGCUGGGCCCU
This 1312-nucleotide long non-coding RNA is filed under the name Gallus gallus (chicken). RNAcentral's name for it is "long non-coding RNA NONGGAT001385". The record is from RNAcentral. Lineage: Eukaryota; Metazoa; Chordata; Aves; Galliformes; Phasianidae.